This 663-nucleotide ribosomal RNA is filed under the name uncultured fungus. Its description in RNAcentral is "eukaryotic LSU rRNA". The stretch from base 218 to 371 matches the Rfam family "5.8S ribosomal RNA". The record is from RNAcentral. Lineage: Eukaryota; Fungi.
CUUGGUCAUUUAGAGGAAGUAAAAGUCGUAACAAGGUUUCCGUAGGUGAACCUGCGGAAGGAUCAUUAGUGAAUCUGCUUUGUCUGGAAGAAAUUCUGGAUAGGGCUCUCUCACAUCCAUAACACCUGUGAACUGUAAGAUGUGGUGAUUUCGAUCCCCAUCUGCCCCCAUUUAAACAUUCAGUAGUAACAAAAGUAGUAUUAUUAUAAUCUAAUAAAACUUUCAACAACGGAUCUCUUGGCUCUCGCAUCGAUGAAGAACGCAGCGAAAUGCGAUAAGUAAUGUGAAUUGCAGAAUUCAGUGAAUCAUCGAAUCUUUGAACGCACCUUGCGCUCUAUGGUAUUCCGUAGAGCAUGCCUGUUUGAGUGUCAUGAAAACAAUCAACCUUGACUUUGGGUAACUCUGAAGACUUGGAUUGGACUUGGGUGUUUGCCAGCCUCACAGCUGGCUCAUCUUAAAUGUAUUAGCUGGAUUUGUCUGGAUGACAGGUUUGACUUGGCGUAAUAAGUAUUUCGCUGAGGACAUCUCUUUUGAGGUGGCCAGUCUUCAGACAGCAGUCUGCUUUCCAACCUAUGUUUUCUCUUUGGAGACAUGACUUUUUAUUAUUUGGCCUCAAAUCAGGUAGGACUACCCGCUGAACUUAAGCAUAUCAAUAAGCGGAGG